GCCAGACUGGGUGAGUUACUGUUGGCAAAUGGGAAGGAUGGAUUAACAUCAACUGUUGCCACAUAGUCAUUCAACCAAGCAGGACGUAUAUGUGUGCGUGAGCUUCUUCUCAUGAUUGGAGCUGGUUCUGAAGCAGUGGUAUUUUUUGUUUGGGGAACAUUGAGCUCAUAGUCAGUGGAGGUGUUAGGUAUCUCAUCUUCUGAUAUUGGGUAAGGAGAGGGUGUUGAUGCUGGUGUUUGGUGGAUUAAUUUGUAGGGGAG
Molecule: unclassified non-coding RNA, 260 nt
Filed under: Hevea brasiliensis (rubber tree)
Lineage: Eukaryota; Viridiplantae; Streptophyta; Magnoliopsida; Malpighiales; Euphorbiaceae
Source: RNAcentral